Molecule: transfer RNA, 75 nt
Filed under: candidate division WWE3 bacterium
Lineage: Bacteria; candidate division WWE3
Description: tRNA-Arg
Rfam family: tRNA
About the family: Transfer RNA (tRNA) molecules are approximately 80 nucleotides in length. Their secondary structure includes four short double-helical elements and three loops (D, anti-codon, and T loops).
Source: RNAcentral
GCCCCCAUAGUUCAACGGAUAGAACAGACCCGUCCUAAGGGUACAAUGUGGGUUCAAUUCCUGCUGGGGGCACCA